GAUGAACGCUGGCGGCGUGCCUAAUACAUGCAAGUCGAGCGAACAGAUGAGGAGCUUGCUCCUCUGACGUUAGCGGCGGACGGGUGAGUAACACGUGGAUAACCUACCUAUAAGACUGGGAUAACUUCGGGAAACCGGAGCUAAUACCGGAUAAUAUAUUGAACCGCAUGGUUCAAUAGUGAAAGACGGUUUUGCUGUCACUUAUAGAUGGAUCCGCGCCGCAUUAGCUAGUUGGUAAGGUAACGGCUUACCAAGGCAACGAUGCGUAGCCGACCUGAGAGGGUGAUCGGCCAAACUGGAACUGGGACACGGUCCAGACUCCUACGGGGAGCAGCAGUAGGGAAACUUCCGCGAUGGGCGGAAGCCUGACGGAGCAACGCCGCGUGAGGGAUGAAGGUCUUCGGAUCGUAAAACUCUGUUAUUAGGGAAGAACAGAUGUGUAAGUAACUAUGCACGUCUUGACGGUACCUAAUCAGAAAGCCACGGCUAACUACGUG
RNAcentral lists this ribosomal RNA (497 nucleotides) under uncultured bacterium. RNAcentral describes it as "partial 16S ribosomal RNA". It matches the Rfam family "Bacterial small subunit ribosomal RNA", at positions 28 to 507 of the family's 1533-position model. The record is from RNAcentral.